RNAcentral lists this ribosomal RNA (253 nucleotides) under uncultured bacterium. RNAcentral describes it as "partial 16S ribosomal RNA". It matches the Rfam family "Bacterial small subunit ribosomal RNA", at positions 524 to 776 of the family's 1533-position model. The record is from RNAcentral.
UACGGAGGAUGCAAGCGUUAUCCGGAUUCAUUGGGUUUAAAGGGUGCGUAGGCGGGAUAAUAAGUCAGUGGUGAAAGCCUGCGGCUUAACCGUAGAAUUGCCAUUGAUACUGUUAUUCUUGAGUACAGUUGAGGUGGGCGGAAUGUGUAAUGUAGCGGUGAAAUGCUUAGAUAUUACACAGAACACCUAUUGCGAAGGCAGCUCACUAAGCUGUUACUGACGCUGAGGCACGAAAGCGUGGGGAGCAAACAGG